RNAcentral lists this ribosomal RNA (279 nucleotides) under uncultured bacterium. RNAcentral describes it as "partial 16S ribosomal RNA". It matches the Rfam family "Bacterial small subunit ribosomal RNA", at positions 506 to 784 of the family's 1533-position model. The record is from RNAcentral.
UGCCAGCCGCCGCGGUAAUACAGAGACCUCAAGCGUUAUCCGGAUUUACUGGGCGUAAAGGGUCCGCAGGCGGUCCUGUAAGUCAUAUGUCAAAUUUUCGGGCUCAACCCGGAAACUGCGUGUGAAACUACAAGACUAGAGACUGGGAGAGGUAUACGGAAUUGCUGGUGUAGCGGUAAAGUGCGUUAAUAUCAGCAAGAACACCACAUGCGAAAGCAGUAUACUGGAACAGUUCUGACGCUCAGGGACGAAAGCGUGGGUAGCGAAUGGGAUUAGAUA